This 406-nucleotide ribosomal RNA is filed under the name uncultured rumen bacterium. RNAcentral describes it as "bacterial SSU rRNA". It matches the Rfam family "Bacterial small subunit ribosomal RNA", at positions 354 to 776 of the family's 1533-position model. The record is from RNAcentral.
GUGGGGAAUAUUGGGCAAUGGGCGAAAGCCUGACCCAGCAACGCCGCGUGAAGGAAGAAGGUCUUCGGAUUGUAAACUUUUUUGACAGGGGACGAAGCAUGACGGUACCCUGAAAACAAGCCACGACUAACUACGUGCCAGCAGUCGCGGUAAUACGUAGGUGGCAAGCGUUAUCCGGAUUUACUGGGUGUAAAGGGUGAGUAGGCGGGUAAACAAGUCAGAUGUGAAAUACAAAGGCUUAACCUUUGAACUGCAUUUGAAACUGUAUAUCUUGAGAGUCGGAGAGGUAAUCGGAAUUCCCGGUGUAGCGGUGAAAUGCGUAGAGAUCGGGAGGAACACCAGUGGCGAAGGCGGAUUACUGGACGACCACUGACGCUGAAGCACGAAAGCGUGGGGAGCAAACAGG